Molecule: unclassified non-coding RNA, 329 nt
Filed under: soil metagenome
Description: partial contains 5.8S ribosomal RNA, internal transcribed spacer 2, and large subunit ribosomal RNA
Rfam family: 5.8S ribosomal RNA (bases 1-120)
Source: RNAcentral
GAUGAAGAACGUAGCGAAAUGCGAUAAGUAAUGUGAAUUGCAGAAUUCAGUGAAUCAUCGAAUCUUUGAACGCACAUUGCGCCCCUUGGUAUUCCGAGGGGCAUGCCUAUUCGAGCGUCAUUAUCACCCCUCAAGCCUAGCUUGGUGUUGAGGCCUGCUGUCAAGGCAGCCUCUAAAAUCAGUGGCAGUGCUGUCAGGCCCUAAGCGUAGUAAAUCUAAUCGCUAUAGACACCUGGUGGACACUCGCCAGAACCCCCCCAUUUUUUAAUGAUUGACCUCGGAUUAGGUAGGGAUACCCGCUGAACUUAAGCAUAUCAAUAAGCGGAGGA